GGGAAUAUAGCUUAGUGGUAGAGUGCUUGCCUAGCAUGUAAGAGGCCCUGAGUUCAAUUCUUUGCUACCA
RNAcentral lists this transfer RNA (70 nucleotides) under Dipodomys ordii (Ord's kangaroo rat). It matches the Rfam family "tRNA". Rfam says of the family: Transfer RNA (tRNA) molecules are approximately 80 nucleotides in length. Their secondary structure includes four short double-helical elements and three loops (D, anti-codon, and T loops). Lineage: Eukaryota; Metazoa; Chordata; Mammalia; Rodentia; Heteromyidae. The record is from Rfam by way of RNAcentral.